UUGGAAACACUCUUAAAUAAAGCUUCCAAUGAACAAGACAGGAGUUCGACUUCGCCUGGCUCCGAACAAGCGGUCGACGAGGCGGAGGUCUCGCGUCCUGCGUGCAUUGCGCCGUUGCCUGGCUCCGUCCUCGCCGUUCCUCCGUCACAGCCGCUGUCCUUUCGCCGGGAGUCGUCUAUGUAAAUCUGUUUCAUGUUCAGAGCUCACUGUCCAUAUAUCUGUUUACCACCGUACUGUUUCCUCUUCGGAGUUCGAUUCCCCUAGAUCUGUUUGCCACCAUGCCUGUUCGUGUGCUUUGCCCUCAUCUCGUCGCGUCGGCCUUGGGAACAGCUACCCUGCGAGACGGGUGCGGACGGCGCCCCUCGCCAUACCCCGUCGUACCAUAACUAUGACCUUCUACCAGUUCGCCCAUGCUGGCCACUGCUCCUGCCCAUCACAUUGCCUAUCACCCCACCUCCGGCAGUGCCUCUAGCCUUUCCUCCGCUAGUUUUCGCUACCGGGACGACGACACCGCAGGCGGCCUAACCUUGUGUUGCACGAAAGCUCCAAAGGGUACACAAUGCACGCUAACUCCGCGCUCGUAGCCUCGCUGCUGCCCGACAGAGUUUGGCCUGUGUUUCUCCGAUUUCAUAAGAUCUCCUCUGGCCUGAGUAGCCACAGGCGCAGCUGCAGCCAUGUAUGCCACCGGCAUCGGAGGGGGAGGGAAGGCAAAAAACGGAGCGACCAGGUGCAAGGUUCGCGAGCCCAGCAAGAAGUCGGCGUGGAGGCCAUGAAACAAAAGCGACAAAUGUUGUCCCUUGAAGCACAUGAUUGUGCAAAUGCAAUUCCUGAUUUGAGCAAUAUGAUCAAAGCAGUUCAGGGCCAAGUUGCAUAGUGUGAAGAUUUAAAAUUGAAGUGCUAUGAAGAGAUGGAUAAGAGGAAGAAACUUUAUAAUAUUAUUCAAGAGACAAAAGGAAAUUAUCAGGGUUUUUUUUGUCGAUGCCGACCCUUAAGCAAAGAUGAGGUGUCAUCAGGCCAGAAUGCAAAUGGCGGAACAACUAAAAAGACAUUUAAGUUUGAUAGAGUAUUCACGACGAAGGAUGAUCAAGGUAUAUUAGUGAUAACUUGAUGUUUGAAUGAAGCUGUAGUUUAUUUUACAAUUGCAAUCCACUGUGUUAGACACAAUAGUCUACAAAUUCAGUUAUUUGAGUUUAACAUUAUAAAAACAAUAUUGCUAGCUGGGUACUUGUACAUGUUUGGCUAAAAAACCUUAUGAUUAUUAUGCUGUCAGCUAUCACCGUGUCAUACACAAUAGUCUACACAUUCAAUUAUUUGAGUUUAACAUUGUAAGGAGAAGAUUGCUAGCUGAUUACUUGUGCAUGUUUUCCAAAAAUAUUGUCUUAGAUGGUUACAAAUAUUGUGUAUGUGGAUGCGUCUCCACUGGUCACAUCUGUCUUAGAUGGUUACAAUGUAUGCAUCUUUGCUUACGGACAGACAGGAAUAGGAAAGACUUUUACCAUGGAAGUGAAUGAGAGUAAUAGGGGUGUUAACUAUAGAACUCUAGAAGAACUGUUCAAUAUUGCAGAGGAGAGGAAACGAAGUGUCACAUAUGACUUAUCAGUUAGUGUUCUUGAGGUUUACAAUGAACAAAUCUGAUACCUUCUAUUUUCUUGGUCUGUUUGUGUGGUGUUAUAUGUUGUUCAAUUUAACCAUUUAAGUUACUUCUUCGUUCAAGAGAUACAUUUUUAGUUGUUAUUGUUUGACGUGUGCUGAAAUGAUUGCUUGCACUUAGCUCUGUAGGUCUACUCAGUUGAGGACAGUGAUCAGUGUCUCAUAGGCACUGCUGAAAUUCCUGUUGGUGGAUUUUAAUGAAUCUAAUUUGUUGAUGUAGCUACUGGUGCACUUUUCUACUUUAAUAGGAGAUUGUUCUUGUCACCCCAAAAAUGUUCCCAUUCUACUUUCGGGCAGGUGAAUUGCAAAGAAAUGGUAUGUCCGCAACUGGUGCUCUCGGACGACUCCAUCACCAAGCAGCCCUUCGCCCCGGUGGCUGCGGUGUCGCACUGGCUGACACCUACUCGCAGUUGCAUUACAAGUUUUACUGACUAUGUAUUUACAGGUUUAUUCAAUUUCGGUUGCAAUGCUUCUGACAGUAGUUGUAUCUGUCCUCUUGUUCAGCUUCCAUGUAUCCCUCGCAUUCUUCCUUGGAUCCACAUAAGUGUUAAUGAUAAUUUUGUUGCAUCUCCUCUGCUGAUCAAAGCUUUCAAACUCAUGACAGAAUAAUGUACUAAACUUCAGUGUGGUGUCUAUCUCAGUGUACCUACACUCAGUUGGAAAACAUCAACCACACUGCAACAAGGUUUAUAAAAGAACCAAGCCAAGAAAACAGAUAUCAACUGUGAUGCCACACUCAAAAGCUUGUUUGGUGGGAGGGAUAAGGUUGGGAUGCUAGAGAUCUCCAAACUUUUGAGCCCUGACUUCCCGAAGAUCUCCAAGCUUUUGUGGUCCAUGGAGCCAGGGAUGGCUCUUUGGUAAAAGACUUUGUUGUGGAUGGCCUCUUUUAUGGUCCAUGUUAAGUCUCACUAGAAAAAUCGUGUGAUGGCAUUAAGACUUUUAGACUUUAUUUUUGGGUCUGAUGCAUGUAAAAAGGAUUCCCAAUGUUUCUGUUGCUCUUGCGAUCCUGUGAGGACACAUAUGAGAGAAAUAUUUAGUCCGCUGAUGGCAAAGCUUG
Long non-coding RNA from Zea mays, 2707 nucleotides. RefSeq lists it as uncharacterized. The record is from RefSeq and is a predicted model, not a curated record. The transcript is spliced from 6 exons. Lineage: Eukaryota; Viridiplantae; Streptophyta; Magnoliopsida; Poales; Poaceae.